Molecule: ribosomal RNA, 480 nt
Filed under: uncultured bacterium
Lineage: Bacteria
Description: bacterial SSU rRNA
Rfam family: Bacterial small subunit ribosomal RNA
Source: RNAcentral
UUGAACGCUGGCGGCAUGCUUUACACAUGCAAGUCGAACGGUAACAGGUCUUCGGAUGCUGACGAGUGGCGAACGGGUGAGUAAUGCAUCGGAACGUGCCCAGUCGUGGGGGAUAACGCAGCGAAAGCUGUGCUAAUACCGCAUACGAUCUAUGGAUGAAAGCGGGGGAUCGCAAGACCUCGCGCUAUUGGAGCGGCCGAUAUCAGAUUAGGUAGUUGGUGGGGUAAAGCCUACCAAGCCGACGAUCUGUAGCUGGUCUGAGAGGACGACCAGCCACACUGGGACUGAGACACGGCCCAGACUCCUACGGGAGGCAGCAGUGGGGAAUUUUGGACAAUGGGCGCAAGCCUGAUCCAGCAAUGCCGCGUGCAGGAAGAAGGCCUUCGGGUUGUAAACUGCUUUUGUACGGAACGAAAAGGCUCUGGUUAAUACCUGGGGCUCAUGACGGUACCGUAAGAAUAAGCACCGGCUAACUACGUG